GAGCGGACAGAUGGGAGCUUGCUCCCUGAUGUUAGCGGCGGACGGGUGAGUAACACGUGGGUAACCUGCCUGUAAGACUGGGAUAACUCCGGGAAACCGGGGCUAAUACCGGAUGGUUGUUUGAACCGCAUGGUUCAAACAUAAAAGGUGGCUUCGGCUACCACUUACAGAUGGACCCGCGGCGCAUUAGCUAGUUGGUGAGGUAACGGCUCACCAAGGCAACGAUGCGUAGCCGACCUGAGAGGGUGAUCGGCCACACUGGGACUGAGACACGGCCCAGACUCCUACGGGAGGCAGCAGUAGGGAAUCUUCCGCAAUGGACGAAAGUCUGACGGAGCAACGCCGCGUGAGUGAUGAAGGUUUUCGGAUCGUAAAGCUCUGUUGUUAGGGAAGAACAAGUACCGUUCGAAUAGGGCGGUACCUUGACGGUACCUAACCAGAAAGCCACGGCUAACUACGUGCCAGCAGCCGCGGUAAUACGUAGGUGGCAAGCGUUGUCCGGAAUUAUUGGGCGUAAAGGGCUCGCAGGCGGUUUCUUAAGUCUGAUGUGAAAGCCCCCGGCUCAACCGGGGAGGGUCAUUGGAAACUGGGGAACUUGAGUGCAGAAGAGGAGAGUGGAAUUCCACGUGUAGCGGUGAAAUGCGUAGAGAUGUGGAGGAACACCAGUGGCGAAGGCGACUCUCUGGUCUGUAACUGACGCUGAGGAGCGAAAGCGUGGGGAGCGAACAGGAUUAGAUACCCCUGGUAGUCCACGCCGUAAACGAUGAGUGCUAAGUGUUAGGGGGGUUUCCGCCCC
RNAcentral lists this ribosomal RNA (796 nucleotides) under Bacillus subtilis. RNAcentral describes it as "bacterial SSU rRNA". It matches the Rfam family "Bacterial small subunit ribosomal RNA", at positions 64 to 839 of the family's 1533-position model. Lineage: Bacteria; Bacillati; Bacillota; Bacilli; Caryophanales; Bacillaceae. The record is from RNAcentral.